Molecule: long non-coding RNA, 208 nt
Filed under: Bos taurus (domestic cattle)
Lineage: Eukaryota; Metazoa; Chordata; Mammalia; Artiodactyla; Bovidae
Description: long non-coding RNA NONBTAT026290
Source: RNAcentral
UCUUGAUCCUUGUGGAAGACGAGGAAACAAUUCCCAUCCCUCUAUUUGUUCUGAACAUUGAAAACAGUAUCCUAGUGCCUUUACAUGGUCCUACAUGAGCGAGAGGAAACCCGGAUGGCCGAGCCUUCCCUGCCACUCAAGGAAGGGGGCACAUGGCCUGGGUCCCUCGUCCAGGCAUCCAUAUCUCGGUUUUCUCAGUUGUCAUGUG